AGAAUCUUUCACAUACCACCCUGAACACACCCAAUCUCUUCUGAUCUCAGAAGCUAAGCAGGGUCUGACCUGGUUAGUACUUGGAUGAGAAAUGUUGGGAGGCUUACAAAAUGGUGUAGGUUAUC
Colobus angolensis palliatus is the source of this 125-nucleotide ribosomal RNA. The record is from Ensembl. NCBI's taxonomy places the organism in Eukaryota, Metazoa, Chordata, Mammalia, Primates, Cercopithecidae.